GCAACCCUCCGAUGUACGAAAAAGUCCUAUAGGUUUUGAGCCAACACUCUUUAUAAGGGAGCCCGAAAACUCCGGCCGCUCAUGGUAUGCCCCCUGAGGGGACAUCAGCAGUGACAGGGAGGGCACCCACCUGCUCAUGCAGGUUCAAAACAAGGGACGGAAACGGCAUUGUAGGGCUCUU
This 181-nucleotide non-coding RNA is filed under the name Acidaminococcus intestini. RNAcentral describes it as "6S RNA". It matches the Rfam family "6S / SsrS RNA". Rfam says of the family: E. coli 6S RNA was the first non coding RNA to be sequenced, but its function was unknown until recently. Lineage: Bacteria; Bacillati; Bacillota; Negativicutes; Acidaminococcales; Acidaminococcaceae. The record is from RNAcentral.